AUUGAACGCUGGCGGCAGGCCUAACACAUGCAAGUCGAACGGUAACAGGAAGACGCUUGCUUCUUUGCUGACGAGUGGCGGACGGGUGAGUAAUGUCUGGGAAACUGCCUGAUGGAGGGGGAUAACUACUGGAAACGGUAGCUAAUACCGCAUAACGUCGCAAGACCAAAGAGGGGGACCUUCGGGCCUCUUGCCAUCGGAUGUGCCCAGAUGGGAUUAGCUAGUAGGUGGGGUAACGGCUCACCUAGGCGACGAUCCCUAGCUGGUCUGAGAGGAUGACCAGCCACACUGGAACUGAGACACGGUCCAGACUCCUACGGGAGGCAGCAGUGGGGAAUAUUGCACAAUGGGCGCAAGCCUGAUGCAGCCAUGCCGCGUGUAUGAAGAAGGCCUUCGGGUUGUAAAGUACUUUCAGCGGGGAGGAAGGGAGUAAAGUUAAUACCUUUACUCAUUGACGUUACCCGCAGAAGAAGCACCGGCUAACUCCGUG
This 490-nucleotide ribosomal RNA is filed under the name uncultured bacterium. RNAcentral describes it as "partial 16S ribosomal RNA". It matches the Rfam family "Bacterial small subunit ribosomal RNA", at positions 30 to 507 of the family's 1533-position model. The record is from RNAcentral.